CCGAAACGGUGACCGACCCUUCGGGGAGCUUGCACAGGUGCUGCAUGGCUGUCGUCAGCUCGUGUCGUGAGAUGUUCGGUUAAGUCCGCUAACGAGCGCAACCCUCGCUGUGUGUUAUAUGUGUCACACGGGACUGCCGGUCUUAAGCCGGAGGAAGGUGGGGAUGAUGUCAAGUCAGCAUGGCCUUUAUAUCCUGGGCUACACACACGCUACAAUGGCCAACACAAUAGGUUGCUAAGCCGCGAGGUGGCGCCAAUCCAUAAAGUUGGUCUCAGUUCAGAUUGUAGGCUGCAACCCGCCUGCAUGAAGAUGGAGUUGCUAGUAACCGCAGGUCAGCUAUACUGCGGUGAAUACGUUCCCGGGGCUU
Molecule: ribosomal RNA, 367 nt
Filed under: uncultured Leptolinea sp.
Lineage: Bacteria; Bacillati; Chloroflexota; Anaerolineae; Anaerolineales; Anaerolineaceae
Description: bacterial SSU rRNA
Rfam family: Bacterial small subunit ribosomal RNA
Source: RNAcentral